RNAcentral lists this long non-coding RNA (546 nucleotides) under Pan troglodytes (chimpanzee). RNAcentral describes it as "lincRNA". Lineage: Eukaryota; Metazoa; Chordata; Mammalia; Primates; Hominidae. The record is from RNAcentral.
CGGGGCAUGACGGGCACCUCGGCUGGCACGUACUCCACCCUCCGGGGCUCGGGGCCUGAGGAGCAGACGGCGGCCCUGUGCAGAUGCUCUGCGUGCGGGAGGCUGUGCUUUCAGUCAUUAUUUGGAUUUCGUUUUCCACAUGAAAAUAUUUAGAGAUCCAGCUCUUGGAAGCCAAGGAGAAACUGGCUUUUAAGUACCAUGGCUACUGUGACGUAUCCUGACUAAUGCCGACAGCACAGGGAGCCUUUGCCUGCCAGAGGAAGCGGUGAGGAAGAGGUGGUGCGUCGUGCACUUCCUGUUGCUGUUUUAGGACAGCUUGGACGUAGUUUGUUCCAGGGAAGUGCUGCUGAACCAGGUAAACCCAGCUCCCCAUCUCCAGGAGCAGAGGCUGCAAGGACAGGGAGACAAUGAGGCAAUGGUGUGCUGGGGGAAUCGUGCCAAAGUGAAAGCAUCCUCUGAUAAUUUUUAAGUCAUUCUAGGAUCUUCAGGGCAUCAAAGUUUUGCCUGUGAGCCUCAAUUGGUCUAAUACAAAAAUACAGACUGUGG